AGUUCACAGCUGUCUCACAUUAGUAAGACUAUAAGAAUAGCACACACACUCUCUGUCAUCUCUGGUGAUUGAAUGUUGUAUAGCUCUUCCGUGGUUUCUAAGUUUCCGUGUUUCUAGUUUCUCUGUUUCCUUGCCUUCGUGUUUUGAUCCCUGGACUGUUUUCUUGUUUAUGAUUGUUUUGCUGCCUGCCCUGACCAUUGCCUGAUUAUCUGGAUUACUCUUUUGCCUUGCCACUGCCAUCGUUGUUUGCUGUUGUUGACCACGCCUGUUUGACUACGCUCUUAUUAAAGCCUUGCAUUUGGAUCCCCACUUUGACGUCACGCCUCCCUCGUUACACUUUCUUUCUUUCUUUCUUUCUUUCUUUCUUUUAUUUAUUUAUUUAUUUAUUUGUUCGUUAUUCAAUGUAUUUAGAGAUGAUUCCUUAGGAAUUGUUGUUCAUUCGUUCAUUCAUUUAUCAUUUUAGAAUUUGGUCUUUAAUUCAUUCUUUCUUUCU
Long non-coding RNA from Sinocyclocheilus anshuiensis, 493 nucleotides. RefSeq lists it as uncharacterized. The transcript has 3 exons. The record is from RefSeq and is a predicted model, not a curated record. Lineage: Eukaryota; Metazoa; Chordata; Actinopteri; Cypriniformes; Cyprinidae.